Molecule: ribosomal RNA, 460 nt
Filed under: uncultured bacterium
Lineage: Bacteria
Description: partial 16S ribosomal RNA
Rfam family: Bacterial small subunit ribosomal RNA
Source: RNAcentral
CCUACGGGAGACAGCAGUGAGGAAUAUUGGUCAAUGGACGAGAGUCUGAACCAGCCAAGUAGCGUGAAGGAUGACUGCCCUAUGGGUUGUAAACUUCUUUUAUAUGGGAAUAAAAUGUUCCACGUGUGGGAUUUUGUAUGUACCAUAUGAAUAAGGAUCGGCUAACUCCGUGCCAGCAGCCGCGGUAAUACGGAGGGUCCGAGCGUUAGCCGGAUUUAUUGGGUUUAAAGGGAGCGUAGGUGGAUUGUUAAGUCAGUUGUGAAAGUUUGCGGCUCAAACGUAAAAUUGCAGUUGAAACUGGCAGUCUUGAGUACAGUAGAGGUGGGCGGAAUUCGUGGUGUAGCGGUGAAAUGCUUAGAUAUCACGAAGAACUCCGAUUGCGAAGGCAGUUCACUGGACUGCAACUGACACUGAGGCUCGAAAGUGUGGGUAUCAAACAGGAUUAGAUACCCUUGUAGUC